CUACAAGCUUUGAAUGGGAGUAGUAGGGCCAAUUUUCCCAGAGAGCUGCCGGAUGGUGCGAGGCAGCAGCUGAGCCUGAACUCGCCCAGGAGCUGUUGGGGUGAAGUGGAAGUAACUCCAACCGGUAACCCCGUUAAAGGUUUCGAGUGAACACAGUUGCACAGGGCAGCCGUGUUAAUUAGAGUGGUACCGCGACCCGUUCGUCUCUAAG
This 211-nucleotide non-coding RNA is filed under the name Peptococcaceae bacterium. RNAcentral describes it as "T-box sequence". It matches the Rfam family "T-box leader". Rfam says of the family: Uncharged tRNA acts as the effector for transcription antitermination of genes in the T-box leader family. Lineage: Bacteria; Bacillati; Bacillota; Clostridia; Eubacteriales; Peptococcaceae. The record is from RNAcentral.